UAGGGAAUCUUCCACAAUGGGCGAAAGCCUGAUGGAGCAACGCCGCGUGAGUGAAGAAGGUUUUCGGAUCGUAAAACUCUGUUGUAAGGGAAGAACAAGUGCGGUAGUAACUGGCUGCACCUUGACGGUACCUUAUUAGAAAGCCACGGCUAACUACGUGCCAGCAGCCGCGGUAAUACGUAGGUGGCAAGCGUUGUCCGGAAUUAUUGGGCGUAAAGCGCGCGCAGGCGGUUUCUUAAGUCUGAUGUGAAAGCCCCCGGCUUAACCGGGGAGGGUCAUUGGAAACUGGGAGACUUGAGUGCAGAAGAGGAAAGUGGAAUUCCAAGUGUAGCGGUGAAAUGCGUAGAGAUUUGGAGGAACACCAGUGGCGAAGGCGACUUUCUGGUCUGUAACUGACGCUGAGGCGCGAAAGCGUGGGGAGCAAACAGG
This 429-nucleotide ribosomal RNA is filed under the name Bacillota bacterium. RNAcentral's name for it is "Firmicutes bacterium partial 16S ribosomal RNA". It matches the Rfam family "Bacterial small subunit ribosomal RNA", at positions 355 to 776 of the family's 1533-position model. The record is from RNAcentral. Lineage: Bacteria; Bacillati; Bacillota.